Molecule: ribosomal RNA, 497 nt
Filed under: uncultured bacterium
Lineage: Bacteria
Description: partial 16S ribosomal RNA
Rfam family: Bacterial small subunit ribosomal RNA
Source: RNAcentral
GAUGAACGCUGGCGGCGUGCCUAAUACAUGCAAGUCGAGCGAACAGACGAGGAGCUUGCUCCUCUGGCGUUAGCGGCGGACGGGUGAGUAACACGUGGAUAACCUACCUAUAAGACUGGGAUAACUUCGGGAAACCGGGGCUAAUACCGGAUAAUAUAUUGAACCGCAUGGUUCAAUAGUGAAAGACGGUUUUGCUGUCACUUAUAGAUGGAUCCGCGCCGCAUUAGCUAGUUGGUAAGGUAACGGCUUACCAAGGCAACGAUGCGUAGCCGACCUGAGAGGGUGAUCGGCCACACUGGAACUGAGACACGGUCCAGACUCCUACGGGAGGCAGCAGUAGGGAAUCUUCCGCAAUGGGCGAAAGCCUGACGGAGCAACGCCGCGUGAGUGAUGAAGGUCUUCGGAUCGUAAAACUCUGUUAUUAGGGAAGAACAAAUGUGUAAGUAACUAUGCACGUCUUGACGGUACCUAAUCAGAAAGCCACGGCUAACUACGUG